UACGGAGGGUGCGAGCGUUGUCCGGAAUCAUUGGGCGUAAAGGGCGCGUAGGUGGCCCGGUCAGUCUUUGGUGAAAGCGCGGGGCUCAACCCUGCGUCGGCCAGGGAUACUGCCGCGGCUCGAGCACUGUAGAGGCAGGCGGAAUUCCGGGUGUAGCGGUGAAAUGCGCAGAUAUCAGGAGGAACACCGGUGGCGAAGGCAGAUCUCUGGGCCAUUACUGACGCUGAGGAGCGAAAGCGUGGGGAGCGAACAGG
This 254-nucleotide ribosomal RNA is filed under the name uncultured bacterium. RNAcentral's name for it is "partial 16S ribosomal RNA". It matches the Rfam family "Bacterial small subunit ribosomal RNA", at positions 524 to 776 of the family's 1533-position model. The record is from RNAcentral.